Molecule: ribosomal RNA, 253 nt
Filed under: uncultured bacterium
Lineage: Bacteria
Description: partial 16S ribosomal RNA
Rfam family: Bacterial small subunit ribosomal RNA
Source: RNAcentral
UACGGAGGGGGCUAGCGUUGUUCGGAAUUACUGGGCGUAAAGCGCACGUAGGCGGCUUUGUAAGUUAGAGGUGAAAGCCCGGAGCUCAACUCCGGAACUGCCUUUAAGACUGCAUCGCUUGAAUCAUGGAGAGGUUAGUGGAAUUCCGAGUGUAGAGGUGAAAUUCGUAGAUAUUCGGAAGAACACCAGUGGCGAAGGCGACUAACUGGACAUGUAUUGACGCUGAGGUGCGAAAGCGUGGGGAGCAAACGGG